AAUUUAAGUUCGCGGCCCACAGUAACCAACAGCAGCAGAGCCAAAGAGAACGACGAAGUGAGCCAGCAGCCCGAGAGCGGCCAGCAGCAGAGCAGCAGAACGAAACGAGAACGACGACGCGAGCCGCCAACAGAACAGAGAGAGCAACGCCGAGAGCCAGCAGCAGAGCAGCAGAACGAAACGAGAACGACGACGAGAGCCAGCAGAAGAGCGGCAGAAGCAGAGCCAGAGAUCAACGCCGAGAGCCAGCAGCAGAGCAGCAGAGCGAGAGAGCAAGGGCGCCGGCAGCAGUCCGAGAGCCACGGGCGUGGGCAGCGACGGCAGCGCAGCCCGGACAAGGGACCGCAGCUAAGGGCUCGCGAUCGCCACGCAGAGCUCGCCUCAAAAAGAAAUGUUUCGAACACCGGGAGGACCAGUCGAGAUCGCUGCGGCGACAAAAGUGAAAAGAGUAAAAAGUGCGCCAUAACCCCAACGUUGCCCACGAGAGGCUCAAAAACACGUGCCCACGAGAGGCUCAAGACACCGAGCGACAGGCGAGGAGACAAAAAGACCGAUAGGCUCGAGAGGAUCGGGUAAGCGAGGCUGUGGGCCUCACCCUUUUUCUAGUACGUCUUAGUUUGGUGCGACGUAGGUAGGGACAUAGGAAAUUUAAGUACAUACGGCGGUAAGACAGGGAAAAAGACAAGGAAAAAUAUGAAAUAAAGAUAUGAAAAAAAGAAACAAAACUAAACAAUGUGCUCGUGUGUAACAGUGUAAAUUUAACCCUUUCCCCCCCUCCCAAAGUGCAAGACGGUAAGUGUGGUCGCCCACCGUUGGAGGCUCCGCUGGGCUGGUCGCAGGUCACUACCGCGCCAGACCGCGGGCUCUCAAACGGCGCGUGCCUACCUCCGAAACGGGUGCUGCCUAGGUACUAC
RNAcentral lists this long non-coding RNA (914 nucleotides) under Drosophila guanche. The record is from RNAcentral. Lineage: Eukaryota; Metazoa; Arthropoda; Insecta; Diptera; Drosophilidae.